Molecule: long non-coding RNA, 224 nt
Organism: Zingiber officinale
Lineage: Eukaryota; Viridiplantae; Streptophyta; Magnoliopsida; Zingiberales; Zingiberaceae
Exons: 3
Source: RefSeq, a predicted model, not a curated record
UGUGAUCAUGAGGUGCAUUAGAACUUGCUGUGGGGUUGUGCUGUGGUUGGACAGCCACUCCUUUCGGUAUCUACUGGCUUCUGCAACGGGUGUCAACCUAGCAAUUUAUCUGUGCUGGCUGUAAACAAUCCUAAUUGGGCAACAACUUUAUGACUUCCAGCAGCGGUUGAUUUGAGGACUUUGACGCGAGACGAGUAUCUCGGAGUCAGAUUGGACCUUUCUAU